UCAGAGGCCAUGGCUCACGGGCCCAGCCGCUCCGCGGCAUGUGGGAUCUUCCCGGACCGGGGCACGAACCCAUGUCCCCUGCAUCGGCAGGUGGACUCUCAACCACUGCGCCACCAGGGAAGCCCAGUAAUGCUGAACUGUUACAACUAUUGACACUCUUCAAAAGGUUCCGCUCUGAACCCCGUCCAGGCACUGCAGGCUCCAAUGGACAUCUUCAAAUCCAGAGAAUGGAGGGGCAAGAGCUUCCCCUGUGUGAUGCCAAAACCAACAAAGCCCCAUGGAUCAGGUGAAAAGCGCCAGAGGCUCUUCUGCUGCAUUACAAACAGACUGCAAACACACACGUGUACAUUAUUUACCUGGCUUGCCACAUCUCUUCAUUGGCCACAGAUUCCCAGGAAGAUGGAGCAAACCUGCAGUUACAAGAAAACAGUAACAUGUUUCUGCUACUACCUUUACUGCUGUGGACAUGUAAUUCUUGUUUUAUAAUCUUACAAGGCAAAUAAAAUAGGCUGCAUCCUGAAGUACUGAU
Mesoplodon densirostris (Blainville's beaked whale) is the source of this 529-nucleotide long non-coding RNA. RefSeq lists it as uncharacterized. The record is from RefSeq and is a predicted model, not a curated record. NCBI's taxonomy places the organism in Eukaryota, Metazoa, Chordata, Mammalia, Artiodactyla, Ziphiidae. The transcript has 3 exons.